RNAcentral lists this ribosomal RNA (2750 nucleotides) under Shigella sonnei. RNAcentral describes it as "bacterial LSU rRNA". It matches the Rfam family "Bacterial large subunit ribosomal RNA". Lineage: Bacteria; Pseudomonadati; Pseudomonadota; Gammaproteobacteria; Enterobacterales; Enterobacteriaceae. The record is from RNAcentral.
UCCUGUUCGUCCUCGGCAGCUUCAGCUGUGUUUACGAGAUAGAGUUAAGGACCCCGAGGAAAAAAAAUCUACGCGAGGAUUCCCCCAGUAGCGGCGAGGGAACGGGGAGGAGCCCAGAGCCUGAAUCAGUGUGUGUGUUAGUGGAAGCGUCUGGAAAGGCGCGCGAUACAGGGUGACAGCCCCGUACACAAAAAUACACAUAUUGUGAGCUCGAUGAGUAGGGCGGGACACGUGGUAUCCUGUCUGAAUAUGGGGGGACCAUCCUCCAAGGCUAAAUACUCCUGACUGACCGAUAGUGAACCAGUACCGUGAGGGAAAGGCGAAAAGAACCCCGGCGAGGGGAGUGAAAAAGAACCUGAAACCGUGUACGUACAAGCAGUGGGAGCACGCUUAGGCGUGUGACUGCGUACCUUUUGUAUAAUGGGUCAGCGACUUAUAUUCUGUAGCAAGGUUAACCGAAUAGGGGAGCCGAAGGGAAACCGAGUCUUAACUGGGCGUUAAGUUGCAGGGUAUAGACCCGAAACCCGGUGAUCUAGCCAUGGGCAGGUUGAAGGUUGGGUAACACUAACUGGAGGACCGAACCGACUAAUGUUGAAAAAUUAGCGGAUGACUUGUGGCUGGGGGUGAAAGGCCAAUCAAACCGGGAGAUAGCUGGUUCUCCCCGAAAGCUAUUUAGGUAGCGCCUCGUGAAUUCAUCUCCGGGGGUAGAGCACUGUUUCGGCAAGGGGGUCAUCCCGACUUACCAACCCGAUGCAAACUGCGAAUACCGGAGAAUGUUAUCACGGGAGACACACGGCGGGUGCUAACGUCCGUCGUGAAGAGGGAAACAACCCAGACCGCCAGCUAAGGUCCCAAAGUCAUGGUUAAGUGGGAAACGAUGUGGGAAGGCCCAGACAGCCAGGAUGUUGGCUUAGAAGCAGCCAUCAUUUAAAGAAAGCGUAAUAGCUCACUGGUCGAGUCGGCCUGCGCGGAAGAUGUAACGGGGCUAAACCAUGCACCGAAGCUGCGGCAGCGACGCUUAUGCGUUGUUGGGUAGGGGAGCGUUCUGUAAGCCUGCGAAGGUGUGCUGUGAGGCAUGCUGGAGGUAUCAGAAGUGCGAAUGCUGACAUAAGUAACGAUAAAGCGGGUGAAAAGCCCGCUCGCCGGAAGACCAAGGGUUCCUGUCCAACGUUAAUCGGGGCAGGGUGAGUCGACCCCUAAGGCGAGGCCGAAAGGCGUAGUCGAUGGGAAACAGGUUAAUAUUCCUGUACUUGGUGUUACUGCGAAGGGGGGACGGAGAAGGCUAUGUUGGCCGGGCGACGGUUGUCCCGGUUUAAGCGUGUAGGCUGGUUUUCCAGGCAAAUCCGGAAAAUCAAGGCUGAGGCGUGAUGACGAGGCACUACGGUGCUGAAGCAACAAAUGCCCUGCUUCCAGGAAAAGCCUCUAAGCAUCAGGUAACAUCAAAUCGUACCCCAAACCGACACAGGUGGUCAGGUAGAGAAUACCAAGGCGCUUGAGAGAACUCGGGUGAAGGAACUAGGCAAAAUGGUGCCGUAACUUCGGGAGAAGGCACGCUGAUAUGUAGGUGAAGUCCCUUGCGGAUGGAGCUGAAAUCAGUCGAAGAUACCAGCUGGCUGCAACUGUUUAUUAAAAACACAGCACUGUGCAAACACGAAAGUGGACGUAUACGGUGUGACGCCUGCCCGGUGCCGGAAGGUUAAUUGAUGGGGUCAGCGCAAGCGAAGCUCUUGAUCGAAGCCCCGGUAAACGGCGGCCGUAACUAUAACGGUCCUAAGGUAGCGAAAUUCCUUGUCGGGUAAGUUCCGACCUGCACGAAUGGCGUAAUGAUGGCCAGGCUGUCUCCACCCGAGACUCAGUGAAAUUGAACUCGCUGUGAAGAUGCAGUGUACCCGCGGCAAGACGGAAAGACCCCGUGAACCUUUACUAUAGCUUGACACUGAACAUUGAGCCUUGAUGUGUAGGAUAGGUGGGAGGCUUUGAAGUGUGGACGCCAGUCUGCAUGGAGCCGGCCUUGAAAUACCACCCUUUAAUGUUUGAUGUUCUAACGUGGACCCGUGAUCCGGGUUGCGGACAGUGUCUGGUGGGUAGUUUGACUGGGGCGGUCUCCUCCUAAAGAGUAACGGAGGAGCACGAAGGUUGGCUAAUCCUGGUCGGACAUCAGGAGGUUAGUGCAAUGGCAUAAGCCAGCUUGACUGCGAGCGUGACGGCGCGAGCAGGUGCGAAAGCAGGUCAUAGUGAUCCGGUGGUUCUGAAUGGAAGGGCCAUCGCUCAACGGAUAAAAGGUACUCCGGGGAUAACAGGCUGAUACCGCCCAAGAGUUCAUAUCGACGGCGGUGUUUGGCACCUCGAUGUCGGCUCAUCACAUCCUGGGGCUGAAGUAGGUCCCAAGGGUAUGGCUGUUCGCCAUUUAAAGUGGUACGCGAGCUGGGUUUAGAACGUCGUGAGACAGUUCGGUCCCUAUCUGCCGUGGGCGCUGGAGAACUGAGGGGGGCUGCUCCUAGUACGAGAGGACCGGAGUGGACGCAUCACUGGUGUUCGGGUUGUCAUGCCAAUGGCACUGCCCGGUAGCUAAAUGCGGAAGAGAUAAGUGCUGAAAGCAUCUAAGCACGAAACUUGCCCCGAGAUGAGUUCUCCCUGACCCUUUAAGGGUCCUGAAGGAACGUUGAAGACGACGACGUUGAUAGGCCGGGUGUGUAAGCGCAGCGAUGCGUUGAGCUAACCGGUACUAAUGAACCGUGAGGCUUAACCUU